RNAcentral lists this ribosomal RNA (497 nucleotides) under uncultured bacterium. RNAcentral describes it as "partial 16S ribosomal RNA". It matches the Rfam family "Bacterial small subunit ribosomal RNA", at positions 28 to 507 of the family's 1533-position model. The record is from RNAcentral.
GACGAACGCUGGCGGCGUGCCUAAUACAUGCAAGUUGAGCGCUGAAGGUUGGUACUUGUACCGACUGGAUGAGCAGCGAACGGGUGAGUAACGCGUGGGGAAUCUGCCUUUGAGCGGGGGACAACAUUUGGAAACGAAUGCUAAUACCGCAUAAAAACUUUAAACACAAGUUUUAAGUUUGAAAGAUGCAAUUGCAUCACUCAAAGAUGAUCCCGCGUUGUAUUAGCUAGUUGGUGAGGUAAAGGCUCACCAAGGCGAUGAUACAUAGCCGACCUGAGAGGGUGAUCGGCCACCUUGGGACUGAGACCCGGCCCAAACUCCUACGGGAGGGAGCAGUAGGGAAUCUUCGGCAAUAGACGAAAGUCUGACCGAGCAACGCCGCGUGAGUGAAGAAGGUUUUCGGAUCGUAAAACUCUGUUGGUAGAGAAGAACGUUGGUGGGAGUGGAAAGCUCAUCAAGUGACGGUAACUACCCAGAAAGGGACGGCUAACUACGUG